CUCCCCCGGGGCCCCCUGGCCUCGCUGCCGGCCCCAGCCUGGCAACGGCUUGCGGGGGGCUCGCAAGGGAGGGGCGGGCAGGCCGGGCGCGGCGGGAAGGGACCCCUGUGCCAGCCGCUUCACCCUAAAGCCCAGGCGGCCGCAGCUGCGCUCCGCCGAGCCUCUGGCUCCAUCACCAGACCCGAGCGGGGAAGCGGCCCGAGCGGGGGAGACCCCCGCAGACAGCCCGGCCUGGCCCCCAGGACCCGGGGGGAGAGGUUAACAGGAGGUCCUCAAGAUGCAUCAGCCACAUCUGUUCCCUUCCUUGUCUGCUUGGCCCCCCCAUGCGCUUGUAGCCAGCAGCGUCCCUCGGGGCUGCACCUGGGCUGUAAAUGCCUCCUGUUCCCCCCGGAGGGCACCGACCUUGGAGCAGGCUCAACCUCCGCUCAGCUCCUGCGCCACUGCAGGAAGCUGACGAUGAUGAAGGAGAGUGCAGGCGCAGGGAGCGCGGUGGUGCAGUCCAUCCGGACCACACAUCUAGGGGUGCUCCAGUCACGGUCAGGAUAGAAGACAAGGAGGUCCUACUGGCGAUGCUGUAUUUCCACAAUCUUCUCAGUGUUUGAGAUCAAAAAAGGAAGUGUUCAGAGACGAGUGCAAUAAAGACCGGGCUGCUGGGGUAGAAUGUCA
Molecule: long non-coding RNA, 666 nt
Filed under: Crocodylus porosus (Australian saltwater crocodile)
Lineage: Eukaryota; Metazoa; Chordata; Crocodylia; Crocodylidae
Description: lncRNA (ENSCPRG00005001754.1)
Source: RNAcentral